GAAGACCCUAUGGAGCUUUAAACAACAUAGCAAUUGUUGCAUCAAUAUAAAACUUUUCUGAAUAUUUAGAUCUUAUUAAACAAUUUGACUAUAAGUUUUUGGUUGGGGUGACCGCGGAGCAUAACACAACCUCCAUGUUGAAAGAACCUUCUUCUAAGCUAAGAACUACCCAUCUAAGCAUCAAUACAUUGACAUUCAUUGACCCAAUACACUUGAUCAACGAACCAAGUUACCCUAGGGAUAACAGCGCAAUCCACUUCAAGAGCUCCUAUCGACAAGUGGGUUUACGACCUCGAUGUUGGAUCAGGGUAUCCCAGUGGUGCAGCCGCUACUAAAGGUUCGUUUGUUC
Molecule: ribosomal RNA, 349 nt
Filed under: Vandijkophrynus robinsoni (paradise toad)
Lineage: Eukaryota; Metazoa; Chordata; Amphibia; Anura; Bufonidae
Description: partial 16S ribosomal RNA
Rfam family: Bacterial large subunit ribosomal RNA
Source: RNAcentral